Strigops habroptila (Kakapo) is the source of this 2165-nucleotide long non-coding RNA. Lineage: Eukaryota; Metazoa; Chordata; Aves; Psittaciformes; Psittacidae. The record is from Ensembl.
UUUGUUUCUGCAUAUAGUUAUGCUUCUAAUUAAAAAUGUGUGUCUGAUUUCUAAUUUGAAUUUGUCUUGCUUCAAUUCUCAGCCAUUGCUUCUAUUCAUGCCUUUUCUUGUUAAGAGUUUAGAACUCUCCAGUACUUGCUAUUUCCUCUGUUUCAGAGUACAAUGAAUUUCUUUUAAGUGGUAUACAUGUCUGAAACGCACAUGUACAAACACACAGAGUAUCACAUCACCAUUAUCUGUGAUCAACAGCUCUAAAAAGUCUCAAAAAUGUGCAUGUAACAGUUGAAGUGUGUCCGGGAUAACAAGGUUAAGGGCUCUUCUUUUAUAAAGACCAGCUUGCUAAUAUCAAAAGAUAAUUAUUUCGCACCUUAUCAAAGAGAGGGCACUGGCAUCAAUUUUUGUCACCCACAGGGGCAGUAUCAGUUACUUGGUGGCCACCUCUUCUCCCUACUACAGUUAGCACGUAGCUCCAUGUUUGCUAUAGCAGUAGGGAAGCCUGGCCUAGCUGUGCUCACUUGGUGAUGGGGUCCAACAAGAUCAUAGCCUGAAGUGAUUAGCUCCACUGCUAAUGACAGAAUGGAUUUCCACUUUAUGGUAGAAAAAUGCAUUUUCUCUAUAUACCUGGUACACCCUGAAGUCCCAUCAUAAACCUCUGACACUGGCAGUAGAAGCCAAUUAAAAAACACUUUUUGGUGCUUAGACUUAGUUUUGGUCCUGAUGAAGAGGAACACUGCAAAAUCUCAAAGGAAGGACAAUUAGUCCUUACUUACAAAAGCACUUCACACUUGCACAAAGCCUCUUAGUGCAACUAUAUGACCCUAAAUACACACAGUUGAGGCAACAUACACAAGCUUACAAUCUAAUGAUAAGUCUUAAUACAUGGUUUAGGUGGCAUACAGCAUUUAUUUUUAUUUUGUAUGUUAGUAUUUUCUGCAGAAAAAAAGAGAAAAUACGAAAUAGUCUCCUAGGAAUUCCUCCCACCUCUUUUCCCUCUUUCCCCCCCCCCCAAAAGUUUUCACCUCCUACUAUCCUCUCCUCUUCCUCAGACAUAGAGUACAUCUGAUAAAAGAUAAGCAGGGAGGAGGGGACAAAGCUUCCUCCUUUUCUCUUCCUGACAGGUCUGAUGCAAAGAUUUGUUCUUGCAAUGGGCUCCUCAGCAAGAAGAGAACCUUCUGCUGUACAGGAAGGCCAUGGACAGAGUUUUACUACUACAAAAUCAAGUAAAAUCCCUUUUCUUAAAAGAAUCUUAAAUUAUGUUUGGCGAUACAUGGAAUCCUUCAGAAAUUUCUAGCAAAUUUGAUCCAUGAUUACCCUAUCAGAAACUAUCAAGAAAUGCAUUUAUUCUUAGAAACGUUGAUCUCCUUUUAUUAAUAUUUCUGCUUAUAUUUUAAAACACCAUGAAAAAACAAAUGAGUGGGAGAAGAUGGUGAGAAAUCUCUUUUCGGGUGAAAGAACGUAAGAGAUGUCUCCCUAUACACGGAAAGGCAGAAGCAAGAGGCAGAGACAGUGAGGAAGGGACUACGGAACAACACUGCUCAAAUCACAGACAGGCAGGAUCUAUUACAGGCACAAGUGGUAGUGAGAUAAACUACAAUCCAGAUGACUGAGCUGCUUCUAACCAUAAAAAUUAAAGAAUAAUAAUGGUUUAGAGGUAAUGUCUAUGACGCAUUAAACAGCAGUUUUAUUUUAAAUGAUGCAAAUCCAUCCCUAUGCAUAGAGCUUUAAUUGAAAAGCCAACAGAAAGUGUUGGCUGCUAGAUGGAAGGAGUGUGGGAAGCUGCUGCAAACAUGCAAAGUCUGUUUUAUUCAUGUGCACUAUCUUUGUUUUUAUUCACCAGAAAAGUCAAAGACUGAAUUCUGGUUAGUUUCGACUUGGUUUUAUACCAGAUAUGUAUAACUAAAAAGAAAAAGAGAAAGGAAAAAAAGAAAAAAGAGCAAAGGAACAGGCCAGAUGACAAAUGUACACAAAACACAUGGCCAAGGAUUUUACAAAGGCUUCCUCGCUCUUGGUGAGAAUUUUCCCAGGGAAGCUGCUGGAGUGAGGGAGAAAGGCAGGAAUGCUUUUGAGUUAAGUACCCUCUUCCCUAAAAAGAAAUAUAGUGCUGCCUCGGUUUUGACAUCUCUGAUGUGUAAACUCACAGUCAUAUUAAAAAAAAAAAAAAAAAA